This 425-nucleotide ribosomal RNA is filed under the name uncultured bacterium. RNAcentral's name for it is "bacterial SSU rRNA". It matches the Rfam family "Bacterial small subunit ribosomal RNA", at positions 354 to 796 of the family's 1533-position model. The record is from RNAcentral.
GUGGGGAAUAUUGGGCAAUGGGCGAAAGCCUGACCCAGCAACGCCGCGUGAAGGAAGAAGGUUUUCGGAUCGUAAACUUCUAUCCUUGGUGAAGAUAAUGACGGUAGCCAAGAAGGAAGCCCCGGCUAACUACGUGCCAGCAGCCGCGGUAAUACGUAGGGGGCAAGCGUUGUCCGGAAUGAUUGGGCGUAAAGGGCGCGUAGGCGGCCUGGUAAGUCUGGAGUGAAAGUCCUGCUUUUAAGGUGGGAAUUGCUUUGGAUACUGUCGGGCUUGAGUGCAGGAGAGGUAAGUGGAAUUCCCGGUGUAGCGGUGAAAUGCGUAGAGAUCGGGAGGAACACCAGUGGCGAAGGCGACUUACUGGACUGUAACUGACGCUGAGGCGCGAAAGUGUGGGGAGCAAACAGGAUUAGAAACCCUGGUAGUCC